GGCCUAACACAUGCAAGUCGAGGGGUAGCAGGAUUAAGCUUGCUUAAUUGCUGACGACCGGCGCACGGGUGCGUAACGCGUAUGCAACCUACCUUAUACUGGGGUAUAGCCCGGAGAAAUUCGGAUUAAUCCCCCAUAGUACUGUUUAAUCGCAUGGUUGAACAGUUAAAGCAUUGCGGUAUAAGAUGGGCAUGCGUCCUAUUAGCUAGACGGUGAGGUAACGGCUCACCAUGGCUACGAUAGGUAGGGGGCCUGAGAGGGUGGUCCCCCACACUGGUACUGAGACACGGACCAGACUCCUACGGGAGGCAGCAGUGAGGAAUAUUGGUCAAUGGGCGCAAGCCUGGACCAGCCAUGCCGCGUGCAGGAAGAAUGCCCUAUGGGUUGUUUUCUGC
Molecule: ribosomal RNA, 395 nt
Filed under: uncultured organism
Description: bacterial SSU rRNA
Rfam family: Bacterial small subunit ribosomal RNA
Source: RNAcentral